RNAcentral lists this unclassified non-coding RNA (283 nucleotides) under Hevea brasiliensis (rubber tree). The record is from RNAcentral. Lineage: Eukaryota; Viridiplantae; Streptophyta; Magnoliopsida; Malpighiales; Euphorbiaceae.
GAAUUAUAUAAUCAUUUUCUAUUAUUUGCAUAUGAACACAUUUUCUAUAAUUUUUUCUUGUUUUUCAUAGAAAAUGAUAACUGGAGUUUCCUUAGAAAAUAGAAAACAGAAAACGGAAAAUGAAAAACAUAAAACUUUUCUGCGAGUAGGCCCUUAGGGUUUUAGUUUCAAAAUCGGCCCAUUUGUUUAUCAGGUUAGUGUUCCAUGUGCACAAAUGUCAUUGCAUCUUUUCCUUAUAAUUCUCAAAGGCAUCUAUCAUUAAUAUUCUUCUUUUUAUUGUUUU